Molecule: ribosomal RNA, 404 nt
Filed under: uncultured bacterium
Lineage: Bacteria
Description: bacterial SSU rRNA
Rfam family: Bacterial small subunit ribosomal RNA
Source: RNAcentral
UGGGGAAUAUUGGACAAUGGGGGAAACCCUGAUCCAGCAAUGCCGCGUGAAUGACGAAGGCCUUCGGGUUGUAAAGUUCUUUUGUUCAUGAAGAUAAUGACGGUAGUGAACGAAUAAGCCCUGGCUAACUCUGUGCCAGCAGCCGCGGUAAUACAGAGAGGGCUAGCGUUGUCCGGAAUAACUGGGCGUAAAGGGCGCGUAGGCGGUCUAUUAAGUUGGAUGUGAAAUCCCCGGGCUCAACCUGGGAACUGCAUUCGAUACUGGUAGACUAGAGGCCGAGAGAGGAAAGCGGAAUGACGAGUGUAGAGGUGAAAUUCGUAGAUAUUCGUCGGAACACCAGAGGCGAAGGCGGCUUUCUGGCUCGGACCUGACGCUGAGGCGCGAAAGCGUGGGGAGCAAACAGG